Molecule: ribosomal RNA, 1145 nt
Filed under: Escherichia coli
Lineage: Bacteria; Pseudomonadati; Pseudomonadota; Gammaproteobacteria; Enterobacterales; Enterobacteriaceae
Description: partial 23S ribosomal RNA
Rfam family: Bacterial large subunit ribosomal RNA
Source: RNAcentral
GUACACAAAAAUGCACAUAUUGUGAGCUCGAUGAGUAGGGCGGGACACGUGGUAUCCUGUCUGAAUAUGGGGGGACCAUCCUCCAAGGCUAAAUACUCCUGACUGACCGAUAGUGAACCAGUACCGUGAGGGAAAGGCGAAAAGAACCCCGGCGAGGGGAGUGAAAAAGAACCUGAAACCGUGUACGUACAAGCAGUGGGAGCCUCUUAAUGGGGUGACUGCGUACCUUUUGUAUAAUGGGUCAGCGACUUAUAUUCUGUAGCAAGGUUAACCGAAUAGGGGAGCCGAAGGGAAACCGAGUCUUAACUGGGCGUUAAGUUGCAGGGUAUAGACCCGAAACCCGGUGAUCUAGCCAUGGGCAGGUUGAAGGUUGGGUAACACUAACUGGAGGACCGAACCGACUAAUGUUGAAAAAUUAGCGGAUGACUUGUGGCUGGGGGUGAAAGGCCAAUCAAACCGGGAGAUAGCUGGUUCUCCCCGAAAGCUAUUUAGGUAGCGCCUCGUGAAUUCAUCUCCGGGGGUAGAGCACUGUUUCGGCAAGGGGGUCAUCCCGACUUACCAACCCGAUGCAAACUGCGAAUACCGGAGAAUGUUAUCACGGGAGACACACGGCGGGUGCUAACGUCCGUCGUGAAGAGGGAAACAACCCAGACCGCCAGCUAAGGUCCCAAAGUCAUGGUUAAGUGGGAAACGAUGUGGGAAGGCCCAGACAGCCAGGAUGUUGGCUUAGAAGCAGCCAUCAUUUAAAGAAAGCGUAAUAGCUCACUGGUCGAGUCGGCCUGCGCGGAAGAUGUAACGGGGCUAAACCAUGCACCGAAGCUGCGGCAGCGACACUAUGUGUUGUUGGGUAGGGGAGCGUUCUGUAAGCCUGUGAAGGUGUACUGUGAGGUAUGCUGGAGGUAUCAGAAGUGCGAAUGCUGACAUAAGUAACGAUAAAGCGGGUGAAAAGCCCGCUCGCCGGAAGACCAAGGGUUCCUGUCCAACGUUAAUCGGGGCAGGGUGAGUCGACCCCUAAGGCGAGGCCGAAAGGCGUAGUCGAUGGGAAACAGGUUAAUAUUCCUGUACUUGGUGUUACUGCGAAGGGGGGACGGAGAAGGCUAUGUUGGCCGGGCGACGGUUGUCCCGGUUUAAGCGUGUAGGCUGGU